GGAUGCUUUCACCUACACACUCAAUGACUCAAACCAAACCAAACAAGAACACUUCCCACUACUUAUGGCUCAGGAUGGGUUUUGGUUUAGCCUAAACCUAAUCAUGUAGAAACCGAAAUCAAACCCCAACCAACAGUAAGAUAACUUAGACAGAAAACAUCACUAGGGAUGUUAGAUGUUUAUCAAAACCGGUUCCAAGAGAAUGCAACGGGACUUCUAACUUCGUGCUGCGGAUUGCUCCAAGUGAUGGAUCCAAACUCAGCCUUGUUCGUCAUACUCACUCCUUUCUUGCUAACAAACGUGACUGUGUACCUCUUCUUCUCUCCCACGCUUCUAAACGCAAGUUUUGAUGGUUUAACUGAGAUCGCAACACUAG
RNAcentral lists this long non-coding RNA (376 nucleotides) under Arabidopsis lyrata. RNAcentral describes it as "long non-coding RNA (ALYR_LNC002454)". The record is from RNAcentral. Lineage: Eukaryota; Viridiplantae; Streptophyta; Magnoliopsida; Brassicales; Brassicaceae.